This 457-nucleotide small RNA is filed under the name Pan troglodytes (chimpanzee). RNAcentral describes it as "processed transcript". Lineage: Eukaryota; Metazoa; Chordata; Mammalia; Primates; Hominidae. The record is from RNAcentral.
GGAUACGUCGCCAUCUUGGAUCCGCGGGACAAGAAAAUUCAUGCGAGGGAGACGUGGUGGGCGGUCCUUCCUGUGACACGACCCUUGAGUGACAGUUCUAUUUGAUUGCCUCCGGUACUGUGAGGAAAGGACACGACUCUAUGGUGAGGACUGAUGGACAUACAUUAUCUGAGAAAAGAAACUACCAGGUGACAAACAGCAUGUUUGGUGCUUCAAGAAAGAAGUUUGUAGAGGGGGUCGACAGUGACUACCAUGACGAAAACAUGUACUACAGCCAGUCUUCUAUGUUUCCACAUCGGUCAGAAAAAGAUUAUGUCUGGAUUUGGAAUGAACAGGAAUCAGGCAUUUGGAAUGAAUAACUCCUUAUCAAGUAACAUUUUUAAUGGAACAGACGGAAGUGAAAAUGUGACAGGAUUGGACCUUUCAGAUUUCCCAGCAUUAGCAGACCGAAACAGGA